RNAcentral lists this ribosomal RNA (22 nucleotides) under Lathyrus pannonicus subsp. longestipulatus. Its description in RNAcentral is "partial 25S ribosomal RNA". The record is from RNAcentral. Lineage: Eukaryota; Viridiplantae; Streptophyta; Magnoliopsida; Fabales; Fabaceae.
GAGACCUCAGGUCAGGCGGGGC